GCAUACAACUGGCGGAUAAGUGGAGUACCACAGGGAGUAUGUAGGAGAGAAAGCCGACCGCCUGGGUACCC
This 71-nucleotide non-coding RNA is filed under the name human gut metagenome. RNAcentral's name for it is "ZMP/ZTP riboswitch". It matches the Rfam family "ZMP/ZTP riboswitch aptamer (pfl RNA motif)", at positions 7 to 83 of the family's 86-position model. Rfam says of the family: Previously known as pfl RNA. ZMP is also known as AICAR. The record is from RNAcentral.